Molecule: long non-coding RNA, 345 nt
Filed under: Monodelphis domestica (gray short-tailed opossum)
Lineage: Eukaryota; Metazoa; Chordata; Mammalia; Didelphimorphia; Didelphidae
Description: lncRNA (ENSMODG00000030848.2)
Source: RNAcentral
CAUUAAUCUAAAGUUAAAUGGAGGGGCAUGUUGGAAGAGUUCAACUGGAUUGCUGCCUGUACUCUACCAUCUGCCCUGGUAUGAUUAUCCGAACUGUCAUUAAGCCAAGAGCCUACCAUUCAAGUGAAAUGCCAGGCUCUGGCCAAAGGGGAGGGCAGUCCAAUAACUUCUAUGGGUGGAUGCCUGUGCCUGGAGAACUUGAGGGGAUGACCUUGCAUAAGAGAAGCCUGCUGAUGACAUUGCUCCAUAUGAGGCACAAGAUUCAAAUAAAGACUGAAAGAUUAAAUGGUAUGUGAAAACCAAAAUUCUCUUAACUUUUAGGAGAAUUAUAGGUUCCUAAUUUGA